GGUUAAUAGAGCAGAGUUAAUAGUUCCAGGGUUAAUAGUCCAGGGUUAAUAGUUCCAGGGUUAAUUGUUCCAGGGUUAAUAAUCCAGGGUUAAUAGAUCCAGGGUUAAUAGUCCAGGGUUAAUAGUUCCAGAGUUAAUAGUUCCAGGGUUAAUAGAGCAGGGUUAAUAGUUCCAGGGUUAAUAAUCCAGGGUUAAUAGUCCAGGGUUAAUAUUCCAGGGUUAAUAAUUCCAGGGUUAAUAGUUCCAGGGUUAAUAAUCCAGGGUUAAUAGUUCCAGGGUUAAUAGUUCAAGGGUUAAUAAUCCAGGGUUAAUAGUUCCAGGGU
Molecule: long non-coding RNA, 323 nt
Organism: Oncorhynchus tshawytscha (Chinook salmon)
Lineage: Eukaryota; Metazoa; Chordata; Actinopteri; Salmoniformes; Salmonidae
Source: Ensembl